GGGCGUAAGGGCUCGCAGGCGGUUUCUUAAGUCUGAUGUGAAAGCCCCCGGCUCAACCGGGGAGGGUCAUUGGAAACUGGGAAACUUGAGUGCAGAAGAGGAGAGUGGAAUUCCACGUGUAGCGGUGAAAUGCGUAGAGAUGUGGAGGAACACCAGUGGCGAAGGCGACUCUCUGGUCUGUAACUGACGCUGAGGAGCGAAAGCGUGGGGAGCGAACAGGAUUAGAUACCCUGGUAGUCCACGCCGUAAACGAUGAGUGCUAAGUGUUAGGGGGUUUCCGCCCCUUAGUGCUGCAGCUAACGCAUUAAGCACUCCGCCUGGGGAGUACGGUCGCAAGACUGAAACUCAAAGGAAUUGACGGGGGCCCGCACAAGCGGUGGAGCAUGUGGUUUAAUUCGAAGCAACGCGAAGAACCUUACCAGGUCUUGACAUCCUCUGACAACCCUAGAGAUAGGGCUUUCCCUUCGGGGACAGAGUGACAGGUGGUGCAUGGUUGUCGUCAGCUCGUGUCGUGAGAUGUUGGGUUAAGUCCCGCAACGAGCGCAACCCUUGAUCUUAAUUGCCAGCAUUCAGUUGGGCACUCUAAGGUGACUGCCGGUGACAAACCGGAGGAAGGUGGGGAUGACGUCAAAUCAUCAUGCCCCUUAUGACCUGGGCUACACACGUGCUACAAUGG
This 676-nucleotide ribosomal RNA is filed under the name Bacillus pumilus. RNAcentral's name for it is "bacterial SSU rRNA". It matches the Rfam family "Bacterial small subunit ribosomal RNA", at positions 556 to 1233 of the family's 1533-position model. Lineage: Bacteria; Bacillati; Bacillota; Bacilli; Caryophanales; Bacillaceae. The record is from RNAcentral.